CCUACGGGAGGCAGCAGUAAGGAAUAUUGGACAAUGCUCGCAAGAGUGAUCCAGCCAUGCCGCGUGCAGGAAGACGGCCCUAUGGGUUGUAAACUGCUUUUGAACUAGAGAAAACCCUUCUACGUGUAGAAGGCUGAUAGUAUAGUUAGAAUAAGCAUCGGCUAACUUCGUGCCAGCAGCCGCGGUAAGACGAAGGAUGCAAGCGUUAUCCGGAUUCAUUGGGUUUAAAGGGAGCGUAGGUGGACUGAUAAGUCAGUGGUGAAAUCUCCGUCGUACCGUAACGAAGUAAGUCGACU
This 296-nucleotide ribosomal RNA is filed under the name uncultured bacterium. RNAcentral's name for it is "partial 16S ribosomal RNA". It matches the Rfam family "Bacterial small subunit ribosomal RNA", at positions 338 to 628 of the family's 1533-position model. The record is from RNAcentral.